AACGAACGCUGGCGGCAUGCCUAACACAUGCAAGUCGAACGGGAUCCUAGAUUGCUAGGUGAGAGUGGCGGACGGGUGAGUAACACGUGGGAAUCUGCCUUUUGGUUCGGGAUAACCGCGGGAAACUGCGGCUAAUACCGAAUGCCCUCGAGAGAGGAAAGAUUUAUCGCCAGAAGAGGAGCCCGCGUCCGAUUAGGUAGUUGGUGGGGUAAAGGCCUACCAAGCCGACGAUCGGUAGCUGGUCUGAGAGGAUGAUCAGCCACACUGGGACUGAGAUACGGCCCAGACUCCUACGGGAGGCAGCAGUGGGAAUAUUGGACAAUGGGGCAACCCUGAUCCAGCAAUGCCGCGUGAGUGAUGAAGGCCUUAGGGUUGUAAAGCUCUUUUGCCAGGGAAGAUGAUGACUGUACCUGGAGAAUAAGCCCCGGCUAACUUCGUGCCAGCAGCCGCGGUAAU
Molecule: ribosomal RNA, 456 nt
Filed under: uncultured bacterium
Lineage: Bacteria
Description: bacterial SSU rRNA
Rfam family: Bacterial small subunit ribosomal RNA
Source: RNAcentral